AUUGAACGCUGGCGGCAUGCUUUACACAUGCAAGUCGAGCGGCAGCGCGGGGGCAACCCUGGCGGCGAGCGGCGAACGGGUGAGUAAUGCAUCGGAACGUCCCCUCCAGUGGGGGAUAACCCAGCGAGAGUUGGGCUAAUACCGCAUGAGCUCUGAGGAGGAAAGCGGGGGAGCUGCGAGGGCCUUGCGCUGGAGGAGCGGCCGAGGGGCGAUUAGCUCGUUGGUGGGGUAAAGGCGUACAAGGGCGACGAUGGGUAUCUGAUCUGCGAGGAUGAUCAGCCACACGGGGAGUGGGACAGGGCCAAGACGCCUACGGGAGGCCGCAGUGGGCAAUUUGGGGCAACGGUGGCGACCAUGAUCCAGCGAGGGGGCGUGAGUGAAGGAAACCUUCGGGUUGGAAAGCCCGCUCGGAGGGAGCGAAAUGGGCGGGACUAAUACGCCUAGCGGAUGACGGUACCGUAUGAAGAAGCACCGGCUAACUACGUG
Molecule: ribosomal RNA, 486 nt
Filed under: uncultured bacterium
Lineage: Bacteria
Description: partial 16S ribosomal RNA
Rfam family: Bacterial small subunit ribosomal RNA
Source: RNAcentral